UCAGCUUCGUUUAUUAUUUGAUCAGGCCUACCAGAUGCAACCUUCACUUAUGUUCCUGGAUGAGAGAGAUGGUAUUGCUCCCGUGCGAUCCAGUGAACAAGACCAAAUUCACAGUGAAUGUUUCACUAAGCGGCAUCUCAUGAAUAAAAGCUUGUCCUGUUUGAGCGAUCAUUGGAGAAGGUCAUGUGGAAUAUGGCGUAGGGAGCAGAGGAGACACUGUGGUCAUUGGGGCCACUGAUGGGCUGGAUGCUGUAGAUCCUGCUUUACGAAAACCCGGGCACUUUGAUCAAGAGCUCCUCUUUGUUUUGCCAGAUGAAGAGGUCAGAACUUAAACCCCACUUUCAUGCUAACGUGGCAAAGUCCGUCUUUACAACCAAACGAUGUAUCAACACAGUAUCACGGAGCAGUUCAAGUUGAAAUUGGGUGAAAUGCUUGGAUUGGAUUGAAGGUGAAAGCGCACUGAAGAGUGUAUCUGACAUAAAUGAUGGUUGUCUCCAGUUUUGAUCUGCUUUCAGCAACAGGAGAGGCAGAUCUAACACUGAUUCCUUACUGGGGAAGAAUUCUAGAAAUCUGCCAUCGUUAACCUGUGUGCCAGGAAAUACCGAACUGAAAGUCUUGCUAAGUCAGAGAGAACUCUUGGGACGGGCUAAAAUGCAACCACUUUGCGGGCUAGGAAAGGGAUUUUCAAGAUUCACACCCGAGACUGGACCCCUAAGCCACCAGUCACAUUUCUGGAUGCAGAAGCUGAACAAUGUGUUGGAAUAUGGUCGGUGCUGUUAUUAAAUCCUUAUGUGCUGAAGCUGCCAGCUGUGCUUUGCCUCACCACUAUCCUCAGAUAUACAAAACCAGGGAGAAACUGCAGUUGGAUAUUGCUUCUGUUAACGUAACAGCAAAGAGUUUUGUCCUGGCUGUGCAGAAAACUGUUCCAGAUUCACAGAGGGCUGUGGUUUCACCUGGGCGAGCGUGGUCACCUGUUGUAAACCCACUGCUUGAGAAGACACCAGCAAGAAUUUUGCAGGCCUUGCAGGGAGUCUUUCCCCACGCCGAGCUUGUGCUAAAGAAGGACCAACGGCAAGGUACAACACCACCACGGACUUCCUUAAAAUUCUGCCAAAGCAAAACCUUUGGAUUUGUGCAAUCAACACACUCAGACUUCUCAGCCCUAGUGACAGUAGGAUUUUAUAACGUACGUGUACAGCGCUGGCUGGAAGCUGAGAGUGACCCGCAGUACGCAGUAGGGAGCUCUGCAUUCUCUACUUGAGCACCCUGUUUUGGACAGUAGCUAACAUCGUAUUUAUCAUUGGUAGAGGUGGAUCUAAGGUUGAAUGUAUGAGGCACCUCAAUACUGAAAUGGGGGGAGAAGGGUGUUUUUACAUCAGUGCUUCUAAUUGCUGCCUGAAGCCUGUCAGGACCACAGCACAAGUGGCUGAAGCUAAAUCCUGGCUUAGCUAUUGUGGCUUUUAACCAUAGUCUCUGAAUUGAUGUGUUUGUGGAUCACACUGCACACUUGCACAUGAGAUCUGAAUGUUUUAGGAGUGUAUCGUUCGGGACUGGGCUUGCACAGCAUAUGUGAGCUCACGCUCCUGACUGCGGCAGCCCUUCCAAGACUGAAUCUGUCAUUUGUUGAGAACAAAUUAAUGGAGCAGCUCACUCAAUUCCUGAUUAAUGGAGAUCCGUAAAUAGUUAUGGUGCUAAUCUCUGAAGAAUAUCCUACCAGUAUUACUCCCAGCAGAACUGGUAGAUGGUUUGUGUUGGUAAAACAGAGGCAGAAAGCCACCACCAACAUAAAAGCAGGGACACUGGGGGACUGCUCAUUUCACCCCCUCUCUUUUUCCCAUUAUCUCUUCCUGUGGUGGUCUUUGAGGAGCCUGAUCUAGAAGAUGUGUUGGUCUGUGUAUUUUUGACUCACUAGUCCUAGACUACUGCUGUGUUUUUCUUAACUGGGAACAUUAAACCUAAACAGAUUUAGUGGUGUUUUCCUUUUUGCUUUUAGGCAGGAAAUCCAUUUUGUUGCUUGGCAUCCCUCUAUUAACAUAUUUUGACCUUAAGCAGCAGCAUUUGAGAGCUGUACACAAGUAAGCACAGGCACAUGACACGACUGAAGGCACAUUUGUCACAUAGGAGGGACAAUUCCUUUUUUGUGAUGUGGUGGUUGCGUCUAUGGUUGUAUACCUGCCACGUCUAGUCACUGCCCACAUAUCCCACAUGAGCAUCCCUUCUUGUGACAGGAACUCUCCGGAUCUUGAUAAUCUGGAAGGGUGCACGGAGAGAUUUGUCAUGUGAAAGGACUGUUGCCACUUCCCUCAUGCAGUAGAUGCACGUUGUCUUCUGCGAUUGAGGCAAUGGCUUGUGGUCUUCCAAAGCAUGUCAUCUGGUCUGAUGGAUCCUCUGGUAACGAGAGGCUGGGAGUGACUCAGCUCUUCAGGCAGGCUAAAGACUGGUCAUCUCUUCUGAAAUGUCCUGGAAAUUAUGAAUUGUGACCAGGUUUCUUUUACAACAUCAGCCCUCCUCUUUCCACAUAGGUCUUUCUUUGUGCAGGCUGUGCUCCAGGCUGACUUGGCUAUGUGUCCCCUCUGAACUGAAAAUGGUGGAGUUUCAGUCGUGUAGCCAUUUAUCCAGACCAAUAAUGCAUCUUGCUGAAGGGUUAGUCUCGUUUUUCCAGGCACAACACUACACCGGCUGAGUUGUGAGGCUUUUUAGGAGGUACCUUGCACCUAAGUGGUUUGGAAAUGAAGAGAGAUUCAGGUCUACUUCUGCCUGCAUAGAAAUGUCUGUAUUGGAGCCAGAGUGAAAAUGUUACCUUAUUGUGAAGGAGUUGUUCUUUUGUUGGUUUGGUUUGAUCUUUUGGCUUCACAUGCUUGUUUUCCGUAAGGUAGUUUGACCGAUACGUAAUUCUUUCUUAGCCUCUUCUACAUGGUCUGGUUUUCCUCCCCAAGCUUUCAUGUUCCCAGUUGGUGCGAGAAGCUCAAAUGACAGCACCAAGUAUAAUUUAUAUCCCACUUAUCCAUUUGUGGUGGGAGGCUGUUGGAGCUCCAUUGAAAGCUGCUUUUACAAUGCUACUGUGGAACAUUUCGGCAUUUGCUCCAGUUUUGCUGCUUGCAACAUCUGGUGUGUGUCACGCAGAUCUCCCAGAAGAGGUAUUUCUCUCAAUACUUUUCUUACUUUUUUAUACGAUUCCUGUUAAUUUACCGAUCCUUUAAGCAUUGGAGUACUGUGCACUCUGAAGCAAAUUCCUACUGUUAUUCCUCAGGCACCCUAGCUUAGACAAAACAACGCUGAAAACAUUUGGCUCAAGUGUUUUCCGAGGCAACAGACUGAUUUUGUCCCAACUUGUUCUCCCUCGCCACACACUCAUGCUGCUUAGACGGCUGUAUAAACUUACUUCAGGCAGUCAUUCCAGUGACUUCAAGAUGGAUAGGUGUGUACUUCAUUAAGAAUAUAUGGUGCUUGAAAUGUAAAUGGGAAAAAAGAGACUUUUACUGGAAAAGGAAGGUGAUCACACUGUUAGUGAUGCAAUGUAAUUACAAAUUUAAAUUCUUUAAUAAAAAUUUUAAUUUCUUUCUCCAUAGAGGUGAAAACUUUAUAAAUUCCAUUUAAGUAACUUGGAAAUGAAUUUUACCUUGUAUUCCUUAACAACACUCAGUAAGAGUACAUGCCUAGCUUUCUAGGCAUCUGAGAGUGUGCAUUUAAGGAAGGUGUUCAAAACCCGAAGUUGCUGCUCUGAUUAUUUUUUGUCAGUUACUGCGGGGGAGGAGAGGGGGCUUACCUAGAUGAAUUUAUCAACUGCUUUGAAAGAGCUUAACAUUCUACAGAGGUUUUUAGAUUGUUAAUAAGUUCCUUCUAAAAUAAGUACUGAAAUUCCUUCCAUCCCUUUUGGUAGUACAGAUUGAUAAAACAAAGCAAACCUUGGAAUUCUGCAACUUCAGGCACCUCAUGCGAAUUAAUAAAACAUGAAAACAAACGCCAAAUGACCACCUUAACAAAAAGCCUGCCCUUGACUGCUGAACCCUGCUUGUUCCCUCUAUAGCUGCCAUAAAGCUUCAAACUGAAGGACAGAAAGCUGGGUAAAUAACAGAUAAGUAAUCUUGGAGGUGGUGAAUGCCACCACUUUAUCAGUGUAUCACACGGUCCCUCCACUGAGCUUUAAAUCUAGAGGUGUUCCUUAGAGAAGGUAAUUUAAUUUGCUGUGCUAACCUGGGAACACCUAGUCUUUUAAGGAGAAGAAGACAACUUUUAACAGUCUGUCUUACCAGAUGGUUCUUGAGUUGAAUUUAGAGAGGUGCUCAUCUUUUCGGAAUAGAAUAUAAAUUUCUGUGGCCUUACAGCUGGUGUGUCUUUUCUCCUCAUGUUUCAGGUAGAAGAAUUCUUUGUUGAUGGUUAUGAUACAGUUUUCAAAAUCCAGUUGCCUAAUAAGGAAGAAAGAAGGAAUUUUUUUGAGGCCUUAGUUGUAAAUCAAGCUGUUCAACCUCCUGCGCCAAAAGAGAA
Falco peregrinus (peregrine falcon) is the source of this 4485-nucleotide long non-coding RNA. RefSeq lists it as uncharacterized. NCBI's taxonomy places the organism in Eukaryota, Metazoa, Chordata, Aves, Falconiformes, Falconidae. The record is from RefSeq and is a predicted model, not a curated record. The transcript is spliced from 7 exons.